Molecule: non-coding RNA, 100 nt
Organism: Fomitopsis serialis
Lineage: Eukaryota; Fungi; Basidiomycota; Agaricomycetes; Polyporales; Fomitopsidaceae
Source: the annotation of a RefSeq genome assembly
UCCGAUAUGGUGUAACGGCUAACAUUACCGCCUUUCAUAUGCAUGUCCUCGUAUCCUCUUCAGAUCGCGGUAGCUCGGGGUUCGAUUCCCCGUAUCGGAG